This 497-nucleotide ribosomal RNA is filed under the name uncultured bacterium. RNAcentral describes it as "partial 16S ribosomal RNA". It matches the Rfam family "Bacterial small subunit ribosomal RNA", at positions 28 to 507 of the family's 1533-position model. The record is from RNAcentral.
GAUGAACGCUGGCGGCGUGCCUAAUACAUGCAAGUCGAGCGAACAGAUGAGGAGCUUGCUCCUCUGACGUUAGCGGCGGACGGGUGAGUAACACGUGGAUAACCUACCUAUAAGACUGGGAUAACUUCGGGAAACCGGAGCUAAUACCGGAUAAUAUAUUGAACCGCAUGGUUCAAUAGUGAAAGACGGUUUUGCUGUCACUUAUAGAUGGAUCCGCGCCGCAUUAGCUAGUUGGUAAGGUAACGGCUUACCAAGGCAACGAUGCGUAGCCGACCUGAGAGGGAGAUCGGCCACACUGGAACUGAGACACGGUCCAGACUCCUACGGGAGGCAGCAGUAGGGAAUCUUCCGCAAUGGGCGAAAGCCUGACGGAGCAACGCCGCGUGAGUGAUGAAGGUCUUCGGAUCGUAAAACUCUGUUAUUAGGGAAGAACAAAUGUGUAAGUAACUAUGCACGUCUUGACGGUACCUAAUCAGAAAGCCACGGCUAACUACGUG